AUAUGCUUGGUUUACUAAUCGGGUCAACGCGCUGGCUCGCGCGGCCGGGGGCGGCGCGCCUGCUUGAUGCAAAACGGCGGCGGUGGCCGGAUCCGUGCGCGGCAGGGGCUGGGAGGCGGAUCCGGAGGCGGGAGGCGAGGCGUGGGUCGCCGGUGAAGACAAGGCCUGAGCACGGUUUCCGUGCGGAUCCAUGGCAUCCGCGACUCUGGGAAGAAAGGAAACAGGGAGGUGAGGGAGGGAGAAAGGAGGCGCGGUGCGGAGACCUAGGCGGGAGCUCGCCGGGGCGUGGCGACAGUGGACGGGCGCGGGAGAGGCGCGGAUUCGGCGCGACGGUGCAGAGUCCUUAAAUAUUCAGACUCGACGUAUUUCCUUCUUCAUCCUGCUGGUGUUGUUCGUCCAGACGAAGGAGAAGAGGAAGGCGGCAACGCUACCGGCCGGCUGGGUGACAGCAGCCAGGCCACGGGUGGUGCAGCCACUCCGGCGAGUAUGAAUGAGGAAUUGACCACCAGAGCAACACUUGGUGCAGCUAGCUGCAGCGAGGACCAACUUGACUUGAUGGGAUACAAUCACCAAGAAAGAAUCAUACUCCUGUAUGAUCCAAGAUAUCGCACGAACAAGCUUGUGUGGAUACAAUCACCAAGAAAGAAUCAUACUCCUGUAUGACCAACUUGACUUGAUGGGGAGUACUUGAACUUACCAUUAUGCAUUGCACGAACUACCAAGAUAUUGUAUCUUCCUGUAUGAUCCAUAACUCAUAGACAUGAGUAGCGAUGGGAUACUAUUUGGAUGAGCGAUCUGGCAUGUAAGCUUAGCUCGGUGGUUUAGAUUAUCACUGUUAGUCUUCUGGUCGUGGCAAUUUUUUUAGACUUCUUGAGGUAGCUCAACCAAUCUGGUGUAAAGCUAUGAAGGCAUUUUGCUUGGAAACAAUACUGAAAGGAUACCUUAACUUCAUUUUGUCCCCUAGAUUAGUAUAAGUAUAUUAAGUCCCGUUUAUUUAGAUGUAUAGCUCGCAUGACAGUUUUGUUUAAACAAGUUUUUGGGGCAUUUAGCAAUUCUCACAUAUCUUGUUAGCCAUGCACUUGCUUUUCAAGAUAUCAUUUGCAAUCUACUUCAUGC
RNAcentral lists this ribosomal RNA (1116 nucleotides) under Triticum aestivum (bread wheat). RNAcentral describes it as "partial small subunit ribosomal RNA". The record is from RNAcentral. Lineage: Eukaryota; Viridiplantae; Streptophyta; Magnoliopsida; Poales; Poaceae.